CGAGAAUUUUUCUCAAUGGGCGCAAGCCUGAUCUAGCCAUGCCGCGUGAGCGAUGAAGGCCUUAGGGUUGUAAAGCUCUUUCAGUGGGGAAGAUAAUGACUGUACCCACAGAAGAAGCCCCGGCUAACUCCGUGCCAGCAGCCGCGGUAAUACGGAGGGGGCUAGCGUUGUUCGGAAUUACUGGGCGUAAAGCGCACGUAGGCGGACUGGAAAGUCAGAGGUGAAAUCCCAGGGCUCAACCUUGGAACUGCCUUUGAAACUCCCGGUCUUGAGGUCGAGAGAGGUGAGUGGAAUUCCGAGUGUAGAGGUGAAAUUCGUAGAUAUUCGGAGGAACACCAGUGGCGAAGGCGGCUCACUGGCUCGAUACUGACGCUGAGGUGCGAAAGCGUGGGGAGCAAA
This 399-nucleotide ribosomal RNA is filed under the name uncultured bacterium. RNAcentral's name for it is "bacterial SSU rRNA". It matches the Rfam family "Bacterial small subunit ribosomal RNA", at positions 356 to 772 of the family's 1533-position model. The record is from RNAcentral.